Molecule: small nucleolar RNA, 75 nt
Organism: Trichomycterus rosablanca
Lineage: Eukaryota; Metazoa; Chordata; Actinopteri; Siluriformes; Trichomycteridae
Source: RefSeq, a predicted model, not a curated record
AAUAGAAGUGAUGAGCAGUGAUUACCGCCCCAGUCUGAUUUAAAGCUGACUGAUUGGUUAACCCUCUGAUCUAUC